UACGGAGUGUGCAAGCGUUACUCGGAAUCACUGGGCAUAAAGCGCGCGUAGGCGGGUUUCCAAGUCGGGUGUGAAAUCCCUCAGCUCAACUGAGGAACUGCAUCCGAUACUGUUUGUCUUGAGGACGGGAGGGGAGAGUGGAACUUCUGGUGAAGCGGUGAAAUGCUUAGAUAUGACAUAGAACACCCAUUGCGAAGGCAGCUCACUACGCAUAUAUUGACGCUGAUGCACGAAAGCGUGGGGAUCAAACAGG
RNAcentral lists this ribosomal RNA (253 nucleotides) under uncultured bacterium. Its description in RNAcentral is "partial 16S ribosomal RNA". It matches the Rfam family "Bacterial small subunit ribosomal RNA", at positions 524 to 776 of the family's 1533-position model. The record is from RNAcentral.